Pristis pectinata (smalltooth sawfish) is the source of this 555-nucleotide non-coding RNA. The record is from the annotation of a RefSeq genome assembly. NCBI's taxonomy places the organism in Eukaryota, Metazoa, Chordata, Chondrichthyes, Rhinopristiformes, Pristidae.
AUGUCCUCGCUCUGGUCGAUCCUGAUUGUAAUGUCUAUGUUCCACGGAGUCUUUGGCGAUGAUUCAAUGUCCCAGUAUCCGCCUGAACUGACGACUGAAGAAGGACGAACAGUAACACUGAACUGCAGUUACCCGGCAGCAUUUGGUACUAGCGUUGUCUUUUGGUACAUCCAGUCUCCUGGAGAAAAGCCAAGAUAUCUGCUUAAGAGUUUCAGCAGCCUUCCUGGAGACCGGUCACCAGAUUUCCCUGACAGGUUUUCUGCUGUUUAUCGGAAAGAAUCUCGUUCGGUUCCUUUAACUAUCUCCGGUGUCCUUGUCUCCGACUCUGCCGUGUAUCUCUGUGCCAUGCGACCCACACUGCAACAUAAAAGCAUCAGAGCCGAACAAAAACCGAACCCCAAAAGUUCCAUCGAUCAUUCACCAGAGGGCGCACUUGCCCCGGUAAGCAGAAGUGAUGAGAGCGAGAAACCCUUCGGAACCUUCAGCAAAUACGUCUCAAACAUUCCGUGUUCAAAGGAGAAGAGCUUCAAACAUCCCAAUAUUUUCUACAAUUGA